Molecule: long non-coding RNA, 706 nt
Organism: Mus musculus (house mouse)
Lineage: Eukaryota; Metazoa; Chordata; Mammalia; Rodentia; Muridae
Product: predicted gene, 40529
Exons: 3
Source: RefSeq, a predicted model, not a curated record
CCCGGACAUGAACCUGCAUAUAUUCAGGACAUACAAUCAGCACGUAUGUGUCCUGUUUGGUUCAUUUUAUUUUAUUUUACUUUGUCAGCUUGACAUAAGUUAGAGUUAUCUGGGAAGAAGAGACUCAACUGAGAAAAUUGCCUUCAUCAACCUGGCUUGCAGUAGAAGUAGACCUUCUCUUCCAUUGAUGACUGAUGUGGGUGCUGUCAUCCUUGGGCAGCUGGGUCCAGAGCUGUAAAAGCAAGCAGGCUGGACAAGCCAGGAAGCAUCCCUCCACGGCCUUGGCCUUAUCUCCUGCUCCAGGUUCCCACUUUGACUCCCUGUCCUGACUUCGAUGUGGCUGAACAGCUUUGCCAAGAGUCCUAAUGAGAAGCAGAUCACUCAGAGUCUCCCAUGGAAAGCUGAGACCAAGGUCUGGUGGAGAAACAUCUGCUUCAGGCUAGCAGCUGUACUCUGGAGCGUCUUCUUCAGAAUGUCAACAUAUAAUUUACAAAAGUUAAAAACAGGACUGUCAGCCAGGCGGUGGUAGUGCACUCCUUUAAUCCCAGCACUCAGGAGGCAGAGGCAGGGGCAUCUCUGUCAAUUUGUGGCCAGCUUGGUGUACAGAUUGAGUUCCAGGAUAGCCAAGGAUACGCAGAGAAACCCAGCCUUGAAAACAAAAACCUUAAGCCAAACAAACAAACAAAAAAUCAGUACUGUAAUACCA